Molecule: transfer RNA, 75 nt
Filed under: Comamonadaceae bacterium
Lineage: Bacteria; Pseudomonadati; Pseudomonadota; Betaproteobacteria; Burkholderiales; Comamonadaceae
Description: tRNA-Arg
Rfam family: tRNA
About the family: Transfer RNA (tRNA) molecules are approximately 80 nucleotides in length. Their secondary structure includes four short double-helical elements and three loops (D, anti-codon, and T loops). Further hydrogen bonds mediate the characteristic L-shaped molecular structure. tRNAs have two regions of fundamental functional importance: the anti-codon, which is responsible for specific mRNA codon recognition, and the 3' end, to which the tRNAs corresponding amino acid is attached (by aminoacyl-tRNA synthetases). tRNAs cope with the degeneracy of the genetic code in two manners: having more than one tRNA (with a specific anti-codon) for a particular amino acid; and 'wobble' base-pairing, i.e. permitting non-standard base-pairing at the 3rd anti-codon position.
Source: RNAcentral
CUCCUCGUAGUUCAAUGGAUAGAACGGGCGCCUCCUAAGCGCCAGAUACAGGUUCGAUUCCUGUCGAGGGGACCC